AGGGAGGAGCUGAUCUGUUCCUGAUCUCUAAAGAGACUCAAACUUCCUCCUUCAGUUCAGUUCAACUCUCCAACAUUAACUCUGCUCAACAUGGACUAUUAUGGUCUGUCUCUGCUCAUCAUCUCUCUGCUAACAGGAGUCAGAUGCCAACAACUCACUGCGCUUCAGAAAGAAGAGUUCGCUGUAGAAAGCAGCAAAGUUACUCUGUCCUACACUUACUCCAAAACAGCCACUGGAAGUGAUUAUUUCUUCUGGUAUCGACAAUAUCCUGGAAAACCUCCACAGUUCCUGAUCUCUCACUCAGGAACAGGAACACAAACUUCUCAGCCGCUUCCUGGUUUCUCCUUCAACAUGAAUGCUGAUAAAACCCAGAUGGAUCUGCUGAUCUCCUCUGCUGCAGUGACAGACUCUGCUGUGUACAACUGCGCUGUGAAGCCCACAGUGACAGGAAACACCAGAACCCUGUACAAAAACCUGCAGUACUGUACAGCAGCCACUAGAGGGCUUCACUCCCUGUUAAACUACUGACUCAUGCAGUACUCCACAGCAGCCACUAGAGGGCCUCACUCCCUGUUCGGUUGUCUAAUGUUAGACCAAGCCAAACAUGGUUUUUCUCUUGUGCUGAUGAUCCUGACAGAUUGUUUUAGACUUUCUCAAUGUUUAUUAUCUUAUCUGCCAAAAAUCCCUUCCUAUUCUGUUUUUAGAAAUGAUAAUGAUGGAUUUUCAUUUCAUUUUUCUGCAGCUUAACAUUCAUCAAGCUGAACAGUCGCAUCGUUCCAUCACACACUAAGCAGAUGAAUAAAUGUAAGUACAUAUGAACAAUGAAAUGACUCCAAUUAAUUUAUGAACCAUCACCUGCUGUGGCCUGAAGGCAAAGUCUCACUCUUCUGUGUUCAAUCUAACGUCUAAUUGCUUCAGUGGCUCAUGAUGUUUUGGGCUUUUGCUCCUGGUUGAUUUGAUGAUCU
Molecule: non-coding RNA, 965 nt
Organism: Xiphophorus hellerii (green swordtail)
Lineage: Eukaryota; Metazoa; Chordata; Actinopteri; Cyprinodontiformes; Poeciliidae
Source: the annotation of a RefSeq genome assembly